GCCAAACCCUCUCGUCAAAGCCUGAUCUUGUCUGAUCUCAGAAGAUAAACGGGACUGGGCCUGGUCAGUUCUUGGACGGGAGACCACUGGGAAAAACAGGUGC
RNAcentral lists this ribosomal RNA (103 nucleotides) under Periophthalmus magnuspinnatus. Lineage: Eukaryota; Metazoa; Chordata; Actinopteri; Gobiiformes; Gobiidae. The record is from RNAcentral.